Halocaridina rubra (Hawaiian volcano shrimp) is the source of this 82-nucleotide non-coding RNA. The record is from the annotation of a GenBank genome assembly. Lineage: Eukaryota; Metazoa; Arthropoda; Malacostraca; Decapoda; Atyidae.
GCCGCGAUAGCUCAGUGAUAGAGCUCGCGAGUCGGGGAGUUUACGAGCCUGACUAACGCGGUUUCGAUCCCGGCUCGGGGCG